This 118-nucleotide ribosomal RNA is filed under the name Pteropus alecto (black flying fox). The record is from RNAcentral. Lineage: Eukaryota; Metazoa; Chordata; Mammalia; Chiroptera; Pteropodidae.
GUCUAUGACCAUGCUACCCUGAACGAGCCCGAUCCUGUCUGAUCUCGGAACCUGAGCAGGAUUGGGCCUGGUUAGUACUUGGAUGGGAGACCACCUAGGAAGACAAGUGCUGUAGGUG